AACAGCCUUGUUGCUCACACAAAGCCUGUUUGGUGGUCUCUUCACACAAACGCGCAUGAAAUUUGGUGCCAUGACUCGGAUCGGGGUACCUCCCUUGGGAGAUCAAUCCCCAGUCCUCCUGCUCUUUGCUCCGUGAGAAAGAUCUACCUAGGACCUCAGGUCCUCAGACUGACCAGCCCAAGGAACAUCUCACCAAUUUCAAAUCUGGACCCCACUGAAAAUCGGACUGUUCAACUCAUCUGGCAGCCACUCCCAGAGCCCCUGGAACUCUGGCCCAAGCCUCUCUGACUGACUCCUUCCCAGAUCUUCUCGGCUUAGCAGCUGAAGACUGACACUGCCCAAUCGCCUUGGAAGCCCCCUAGACCAUCACGGAUGCCGAGCUUCGAGUAACUCUCACAGUGGAGGGAACGCGCAUGAAAAAACCAAACAAACAAAAAAAUUUCUUUUGGUAGCAGAAUAAAAAAACAAAAAAAAGGACUUUUUCUUCUGGACUGAACUAUAUUUAAAUCUCAAAGGAUGGACAUCUCACAACCUUCCUACAGCAAGUACUGUGAGAGCUGCAUCUUGUCCCACUGGAUGGUCUUCAGAGACAAUAAUACAUAAUGGAGCUGUCAUCUCCUAUGAUAACAAUGCCUUCUUCUGGAUACCUCCUGAAGGACCUGCCUGAGGCUCUUUCACUGUUAGUUUUUUUUUAAUAAGUAGAAGGAUUACACUCUAAAAUAAUAAGUGUAGUAUAGUAAAUGUAUAAACCAGUAACAUAAUGGUUUAUUAUCAUUAUCAAGUAUUACAUACUGUACAAAAUUAUAUGUGCUACAAUUUUAUGUGACUGGCAG
This 833-nucleotide long non-coding RNA is filed under the name Homo sapiens (human). Its description in RNAcentral is "long intergenic non-protein coding RNA 458". Lineage: Eukaryota; Metazoa; Chordata; Mammalia; Primates; Hominidae. The record is from RNAcentral.